Molecule: ribosomal RNA, 395 nt
Filed under: uncultured bacterium
Lineage: Bacteria
Description: partial 16S ribosomal RNA
Rfam family: Bacterial small subunit ribosomal RNA
Source: RNAcentral
AUACGUAGGGUGCAAGCGUUAAUCGGAAUUACUGGGCGUAAAGCGUGCGCAGGCGGUUUUGUAAGACAGAGGUGAAAUCCCCGGGCUCAACCUGGGAACUGCCUUUGUGACUGCAAAGCUAGAGUACGGCAGAGGGGGGUGGAAUUCCGCGUGUAGCGGUGAAAUGCGUAGAUAUGCGGAGGAACACCGAUGGCGAAGGCAAUCCCCUGGGCCUGUACUGACGCUCAUGCACGAAAGCGUGGGGAGCAAACAGGAUUAGAUACCCUGGUAGUCCACGCCCUAAACGAUGUCAACUGGUUGUUGGGUCUUCAUUGACUCAGUAACGAAGCUAACGCGUGAAGUUGACCGCCUGGGGAGUACGGCCGCAAGGUUGAAACUCAAAUGAAUUGACGGGG